AUUGAACGCUGGCGGCAGGCUUAACACAUGCAAGUCGAGCGGGGUGAUGGUGCUUGCACUAUCACUUAGCGGCGGACGUGUGAGUAAUGCUUAGGAAUCUGCCUAUUAGUGGGGGACAACAUCUCGAAAGGGAUGCUAAUACCGCAUACGUCCUACGGGAGAAAGCAGGGGAUCACUUGUGACCUUGCGCUACUAGAUGAGCCUAAGUCGGAUUAGCUAGUUGGUAGGGUCAAGGCCUACCAAGGCGACGAUCCGUAGCGGGUCUGAGAGGAUGAUCCGCCACACUGGGACUGAGACACGGCCCAGACUCAUACGGGAGGCAGCAGUGGGGAAUAUUGGACAAUGGGGGGAACCCUGAUCCAGCCAUGCCGCGUGUGUGAAGAAGGCCUUAUGGUUGUAAAGCACUUUAAGCGAGGAGGAGGCUCUUUUGGUUAAUACCCAAGAUGAGUGGACGUUACUCGCAGAAUAAGCACCGGCUAACUCUGUGCCAGCCGCCGCCGUAA
This 503-nucleotide ribosomal RNA is filed under the name uncultured bacterium. RNAcentral's name for it is "partial 16S ribosomal RNA". It matches the Rfam family "Bacterial small subunit ribosomal RNA", at positions 30 to 523 of the family's 1533-position model. The record is from RNAcentral.